RNAcentral lists this transfer RNA (50 nucleotides) under Pseudotaxiphyllum pohliicarpum. RNAcentral's name for it is "partial tRNA-Phe". It matches the Rfam family "tRNA", at positions 1 to 47 of the family's 71-position model. Rfam says of the family: Transfer RNA (tRNA) molecules are approximately 80 nucleotides in length. Their secondary structure includes four short double-helical elements and three loops (D, anti-codon, and T loops). RNAcentral also lists the same sequence under 2 other names. Lineage: Eukaryota; Viridiplantae; Streptophyta; Bryopsida; Hypnales; Plagiotheciaceae. The record is from RNAcentral.
GGCCGGAAUAGCUCAGUUGGUAGAGCAGAGGACUGAAAAUCCUCGUGUCA